This 492-nucleotide ribosomal RNA is filed under the name uncultured bacterium. RNAcentral describes it as "partial 16S ribosomal RNA". It matches the Rfam family "Bacterial small subunit ribosomal RNA", at positions 30 to 507 of the family's 1533-position model. The record is from RNAcentral.
AGUGAACGCUGGCGGUAGGCCUAACACAUGCAAGUCGAACGGCAGCACAGUAAGAGCUUGCUCUUACGGGUGGCGAGUGGCGGACGGGUGAGGAAUACAUCGGAAUCUACUUUUUCGUGGGGGAUAACGUAGGGAAACUUACGCUAAUACCGCAUACGACCUACGGGUGAAAGCAGGGGAUCUUCGGACCUUGCGCGAUUGAAUGAGCCGAUGUCGGAUUAGCUAGUUGGCGGGGUAAAGGCCCACCAAGGCGACGAUCCGUAGCUGGUCUGAGAGGAUGAGAGGCAAAACGGGAAAGGAGACACGGGCGAGAGGCCGACGGGAGGCAGCAGGAGGGAAGUGGGCGCAAGGGGCGAAAUGAGGACGGAGCAACGAAGGGGGAGGGAAGAAGGUAGUCGGAUCGGAAAACUCUUUGAUGAGGGAAAAAAAAAGGUGUCAGGAACGAUGCAAGGAGGGACGGUACCUAAUAAGAAAGCAACGGCUAACUACGUG